ACGUCUUCGCGUCUGCGACAUAUUCCUCCAUAUUGCCGGUGACGAGCGUUGGGAACACGACUUGAACCUGAAAUCAUGUUAAUCCGCAAAUGACGGUGUCGUUCUGCAACGUUCUACCGUUUCCAAUGACAGUGGAGUACACUCUGAAACAGCGCACACGAGAUCUUUGUAUUUACAAAAUCAGGCUACCAUCAGCAUAUAUAAAAAAGUUAAAUUACCUGUAAUGAAUAA
Long non-coding RNA from Vollenhovia emeryi, 231 nucleotides. RefSeq lists it as uncharacterized. The transcript is spliced from 2 exons. NCBI's taxonomy places the organism in Eukaryota, Metazoa, Arthropoda, Insecta, Hymenoptera, Formicidae. The record is from RefSeq and is a predicted model, not a curated record.